CCUACGGGAGGCAGCAGUGGGGAAUUGUUCACAAUGGGCGCAAGCCUGAUGACGCAACGCCGCGUGGAGGAUGAAGGUCUUCGGAUUGUAAACUCCUGUUGCCCGGGACGAAAAGCUCCGACCUAAUACGUCGGAGUCUGACGGUACCGGGUGAGGAAGCCCCGGCUAACUCUGUGCCAGCAGCCGCGGUAAUACAGAGGGGGCAAGCGUUGUUCGGAAUUACUGGGCGUAAAGGGCGCGUAGGCGGCCUGCUAAGUCGAACGUGAAAUCCCCGGGCUCAACCCGGGAACUGCGUCCGAUACUGGUGGGCUUGAAUUCGGGAGAGGGAUGUGGAAUUCCAGGUGUAGCGGUGAAAUGCGUAGAUAUCUGGAGGAACACCGGUGGCGAAGGCGGCAUCCUGGACCGAUAUUGACGCUGAUGCGCGAAAGCCAGGGGAGCAAACGGGAUUAGAUACCCCGGUAGUCCUGGCCCUAAACGAUGAAUGCUUGGUGUGGCGGGUAUCGAUCCCUGCCAUGCCGAAGCUAACGCAUUAAGCAUUCCGCCUGGGGAAUACGGUCGCAAGGCUGAAACUCAAGGAAUUGACGGGGGC
Molecule: ribosomal RNA, 589 nt
Filed under: uncultured bacterium
Lineage: Bacteria
Description: bacterial SSU rRNA
Rfam family: Bacterial small subunit ribosomal RNA
Source: RNAcentral